Molecule: ribosomal RNA, 897 nt
Filed under: uncultured Bacteroidota bacterium
Lineage: Bacteria; Pseudomonadati; Bacteroidota
Description: bacterial SSU rRNA
Rfam family: Bacterial small subunit ribosomal RNA
Source: RNAcentral
AUGAACGCUAGCUACAGGCUUAACACAUGCAAGUCGAGGGGAAACGAUAGAGAAAGCUUGCUUUUUCUAGGCGUCGACCGGCGCACGGGUGAGUAACGCGUAUCCAACCUGCCCACCACUUGGGGAUAACCUUGCGAAAGUAAGACUAAUACCCAAUGAUAUCUCAAGAAGACAUCUGAAAGAGAUUAAAGAUUUAUCGGUGAUGGAUGGGGAUGCGUCUGAUUAGUUUGUUGGCGGGGUAACGGCCAACCAAGGCGGCGAUCAGUAGGGGUUCUGAGAGGAAGGUCCCCCACAUUGGAACUGAGACACGGUCCAAACUCCUACGGGAGGCAGCAGUGAGGAAUAUUGGUCAAUGGGCGAGAGCCUGAACCAGCCAAGUAGCGUGCAGGAUGACGGCCCUAUGGGUUGUAAACUGCUUUUAUAAGGGAAUAAAGUGAGCCUCGUGAGGCUUUUUGCAUGUACCUUAUGAAUAAGGACCGGCUAAUUCCGUGCCAGCAGCCGCGGUAAUACGGAAGGUCCGGGCGUUAUCCGGAUUUAUUGGGUUUAAAGGGAGCGUAGGCCGGAGAUUAAGCGUGUUGUGAAAUGUAGAUGCUCAACAUCUGCACUGCAGCGCGAACUGGUUUCCUUGAGUACGCACAAAGUGGGCGGAAUUCGUGGUGUAGCGGUGAAAUGCUUAGAUAUCACGAAGAACUCCGAUUGCGAAGGCAGCUCACUGGAGCGCAACUGACGCUGAAGCUCGAAAGUGCGGGUAUCGAACAGGAUUAGAUACCCUGGUAGUCCGCACGGUAAACGAUGGAUGCCCGCUGUUGGUCUGAAUAGGUCAGCGGCCAAGCGAAAGCAUUAAGCAUCCCACCUGGGGAGUACGCCGGCAGCGGUGCAACUCAAAGGAAUUGACGG